This 1986-nucleotide ribosomal RNA is filed under the name Triticum aestivum (bread wheat). RNAcentral's name for it is "partial small subunit ribosomal RNA". Lineage: Eukaryota; Viridiplantae; Streptophyta; Magnoliopsida; Poales; Poaceae. The record is from RNAcentral.
AUGGUGGUCGCCGACGCCACAGGAGGAGAAGAGGGGGCGAGGAUCUCCCCGAAGGGAGGCCAAGGAGAGGAGGAGGCGGAGGAGCAGCUGUGCCGCAUCUGCCGUCUCCCCGCCGAGGCGGAGCGCCCCCUGCGGAGCCCAUGCGCCUGCCGCGGCAGCAUCAGGUUCGUCCACGACGAGUGCCAGCUCCGGUGGAUCGCCGCCCGCGGAAAACCCCUAUGCGAGGUAUGCAACCGCGGCAUCACCACCCGGCUUCUCUACGCCGCGGACGCCCCCACGAGGCUGCCCGUUUCCGAGUUCAUGGUGGGGGCGUCCGACAAGCUCACGGGUCUGCUGCUGCUGCUCGUCUUCGCCGUAUGCGUCGUGCCGGAGUUUUCCGUUCACCUCGCCGCGCUCUGGGCUUGGCGCCUCGCGCUUGCCAGAUCCUUUGCUCAAGCGUGCUGUUUGCUCUCCCUCCGUCUUUCUACCGCCUCCGCCCUCGCUUUAUUUGCGCUCUGCAUUGCAUUCGCGUGCCGGUUUGCUCCAUUUGCUGUAGCUCCAUUUGCACCAUGGGUUGCACGCCUAGAAACUCGGCGUCAGGGGUUUCGUGGAUUUGAUGGCUUGCAAGUCCUUGCGCUACUUGCCGUUGAAGCAUUCUUGAUGGUGGUAAUAUUUGACAUGGCUCUUGCUUGUAUUUUGGUUUUUAUCCCAUUCUCGCUGGGAAGGAUAAUCCACUGGUGCAUAUCGUGUUCCAGUUUUUCCAGUGUGGGUGAAGUCAACUCCUACACUUCAACAGGCUCUGCCCUUCUAAUUGGAUAUGGACUUAUCAUUUCUGUCGGUGUCACUUUUCCUGGGCUGAACACUCUCUGGCAAUACUUUAGGGGGGAGCGCUUUAUGAUUGCAAUUUUCAUUAGACGGCUCCAUGCUAGAUUCCUCAGAGAGACCGCAGGUUUUACCACUCUUGCAAGUAUUCUCCUGAGCGCAUUUAUAAUGUACCCGUUGUUCUUUGGCUGGUUGCUUGAUGUCUUCACUUCAAAAAUGUUUGGUGCAACAAUGUCUCAAAGGUUGGAACUUCUGUUUGCUCCAUCUUUUGCUUCAGCUUCUCUUCAUUGUUUUAUUGGACACAUCUUUUUGAAUCUACGUCUCUGGUUAUCCGUAACUCUUCACAAGAUAUUGAGGCUGGGAGUUGCCUGUCCCUGUUGCCACAUCCACCGUAACCAUAUUCAGGAACCAUUCCACAAAUUUUAUUUUAAGCGUGCUCUUCUGUAUGACGUUAUCUUUAUGGCCGUAGUAAUUUUUGCUCCUGUUCAAAUUGCUGGCCAAUUGGCACCGGAGCUGUUCCCAUUAGAUAUCACUUGUGCUGCUGAAGGCUUAUCAUUAUGGCAAGCGCCACGAAACUAUGCCAAUUCAAUUUCUCGUGUUUUCAUUGUGUGGUUUCUCAUUAAGGGCACUUCUACAGUCACAUACCUUGAGUCGCUAGUGAAGAAGUCUAUCGCCAUUCCCUUCCUGAAUGGCUUGCUGGUUGAUUUAUUUCUAAUAUCACCUAUCGUUGGACCUGCUGACGACGUUUCAUUAUCCUACAUUUGGGCCCUUGGGUUUCUAUUUAUGAGAAUCUGGCUAAAGCUGGUUCAGCAGAUAAGGGCCAGACCUGUCCUUGCCUAUAUCAUUGAUGAAAGGUGGGUUCCGACGAUUGUUCGGUGGAAGGCCGAUUGUCUUUCUUGGGAGAUAUCAAUGUGCUGGUUCUUGCAAGAAAUCUUCAUGCCUAUUGCCACGAGGCUACUCGCUGCUCUAGGCGUUCCUUAUGUGCUCGCCAAGGUUGUCUUCCCAAGAUUUGGCUACUCCGCUGCUGUGAACUCAGCAGUAUAUCGCUUCGCAUGGCUGGGCAGCCUCGGCUCCUGUGAGCUCUGCUAUCUCUUCAAGGUGUUGUGUGUCAAACUCCAUGAUUCGAUCAGGGAUGAGCGCUACGUCAUCGGGAAGAGGUUGGAAGAUGUCCCCGAUGAUAGGUGA